This is a long non-coding RNA of Nycticebus coucang (slow loris), 1010 nucleotides long. RefSeq lists it as uncharacterized. The transcript is spliced from 3 exons. The record is from RefSeq and is a predicted model, not a curated record. Lineage: Eukaryota; Metazoa; Chordata; Mammalia; Primates; Lorisidae.
CCUCCGGAGCCGACUGGCUGGGCGCGCGCGCAGUGGGUGGGGCUGAGGCCGGUGCCUCGCUGACCUCCAGCCUAGGCGGCACCUCCUGUGUUGCCCGCAGGCUUGUGGAGUGGCCUUGGGCAGUCUGACUUGGUUCCUCCUUACCGUGCUUGGCACAUCUUGGCCAGAGUCUAGCAGAAGCGCCGGGUUGUUAGCGAAGGAGAAUGGGGCCUGGUCCUGGAGAUGUGAGGGUUUGGAGGGCGGGACACUCCCCUUGGUGUAAUGUGGUUGGACCCCCGGACAAGCUGUUUAUCGCCCUGGUGAUCCCUGCUGCGCCGGGAGAAGAGCUGCAAACCGUAGAUUAUCGUCCAGAUUUUCACUCUGCAGUACCUAAUCUCUCCCCACCGACAGGUGUCACCUCUCAGAACAGAAAGGCUAACUUGCAGAAUUUAUUUGGUCUCAUCAACCACCUGCAAAAUGGGCGAAACAGAGUCUCACUGUACUGCCCUCAGGUAGAGUGCGGUGGCGUCACACGGCUCACAGCAACCUCUAACUCUUGGGCUUACGCGAUUCUCUUGCCUCAGCCUCCUGAGCAGCUGGGACUACAGGCGCCCUCCACAACACCUGGCUAUUUACUAUCCUUGGUUUUAACCAGCCACUGGGGGGCUUGGUACAUACCCCCUCAGAUAAGGGGGGAACUAGUGUAUUUAAAGAAAUGUAUGAUCUGCUAGUAUGCAUUUCUAUGUUAAUACAAUACAGUGUUUCUUUACUAGUACAUUAAAUGACAUGAUUUAUUCACAGGCUUAACAUCUCCCAUAAUUAUAAAGUAGAGAUUAUUUUGAGUUGUCUGUAACCUACAAUGUGAUAUGGAAAUAUUAAUUGUGAUUUUUAUUGAUAACAAUGUUAUAGGUACUGCUAGUACUACAAAGAUUUAUUUUGUACAUUAAAAAAAUUAAAUUUUAACUAGAGUUUAAAGAAUUUUUUAUUCUAUACAAGUUCAUGGAUCUGAUUUCUUUUGUAAAAUUUUUGUU